This 1964-nucleotide long non-coding RNA is filed under the name Capsicum annuum. Its description in RNAcentral is "long non-coding RNA (CANN_LNC016511)". The record is from RNAcentral. Lineage: Eukaryota; Viridiplantae; Streptophyta; Magnoliopsida; Solanales; Solanaceae.
GAAUACAAUGUGCAUCAUAUGAACUUAUCCAGAAUAUAUUAUGUAAGCAUUCUGAAGCAAAUUGGUACACAUACCCAAGGUUGCCAACGCCGUUAAUAGGCUUCAGAAGUUGCAAUUGAUGUUGUUGUACCUCCCUACUGAGGUUCAAUUUGCUACAAGGGCUGCACAUGACCACCCUCCAUCACUAUUGCUGCAGUAAUUGGGGUUCCAUUUCCCUCAAUUAACCGCCACAUAUACCGUGCCCCAAUCGAUCGGUAUAGCCUUCAUUUCCCACACAAUUGUUCCAUUUGCGACGGUCUUGGCAAUUCCUCUAACCCAUACAACAUUCUCACUCCUUCCAACAUAGAAAGGCCUUGGCACAUUUCGCUAGCACACAAUCAGAGUAUAUAUCUCACAAAAGUCACAAGAAAGAAAUAUUAUACUAUAUCAAAAACAAAAUAUCUCAACCGUAUAAUUCGAUAUCAAUCUCGGUCUUUCAAUGUCAAGCUCCAGUUCAGGUUUCAAAUCAGGAUCCGAUUGGAAGUCUCAGUGGCAGAUUUCAUAAUUAAAGAGGAAUUAGAGGACGGAGAUUAAGAAAUACCUGCUAACUCAUCUUCAUCCCAUUCCUCAAAGGACAUCGACGCAGGCUUCGGGUUGGACGGCGAGAUGUAACUUGAGUGGCCACUAAGGGAGGAAGACAGAGGUGUUGUGCGGCGGAGAUGGGUUCAUCGAGGUCAACAAAUUUGUCGAUAUCAUCGACGUCGAGAAUCAAAGUCAUAACACUCAAUAGUCAAUGGACUGUCCUGCAUUUGUUCAAAUGUUAUUGAUAUCAUAAUACAGUUUCUUGACAUACCCGAAGAAUGGUUAUUAUUUAGAAGAUUCAUCCCCAGCAAUUUAGUAAGAUUAUUAGCGGUACAGGCCCUUUCAAAGCUAUAGAUGACUACUGUAAUGUGAGAACCUUCGAUUGUAUUCCGCAAUGGGCAAUACAUGAAACACUUCUGAAGAAUUCCGCUAAUAUAUUAUUUAACUAGCUAAUAAAAUCAGAAAGUAUCAUAUUACAUUAAAGAGCAAAGAAAAGGGCAGCCUGGUGCACUAAGCAUCCCACAUUCAUGCAAGGUUCGGGGAACAACCGCACCCCUAAGGGAUGUGAUGUCGGAAUGUUACCCUGAUGCAGCAUCAGUGGCUGAUUCCACAGAUCGAACUCGUGACCUAUAGGUCACACGGAGACAACUUUAUAUUACUCUAAGGCUACCCUUCAGAUUUUUACUGCAGACAUGGAGCAAGCUAACACAACUUGUAACAUGAAUGGAGUAUAUAUCUCACUGAUGAUUUGGAUUUGAAAGCUUAUCCAUUUCUAGAUCUAAACUCAACUUAUAUGAUGUAGACCUGACACAGGGAAAAUACAUUACUGUUGACUAGGACAAAGAUCUUUUGAACUCAAGUAGAUAUAUAUCUGUGGAUUCAAUCUAGAAAAUUCAUAACCCCCCCACCAUAAAGGCCAUAAUAUCAUAUAAGACUUUCUUAAGGUAACUAGCUAAUUUAUGCAGAUUGCUGUCUUGAAUCGCACCGAAUACAUGACACUCGUGCAAAACAAAACAUUUGUAGGACACCGAAUACACUUAACCUUUCUCGACGUAAAAAUCAUUAAUAUACAAUAAUAGACAAUUUUAUUUACUCUGCAAUUGAAUCAUAAUGUGUGGCGAAUACAAUGUGCAUCAUAUGAACUUAUCCAGAAUAUAUUAUGUAAGCAUUCUGAAGCAAAUUGGUACACAUACCCAAGGUUGCCAACGCCGUUAAUAGGCUUCAGAAGUUGCAAUUGAUGUUGUUGUACCUCCCUACUGAGGUUCAAUUUGCUACAAGGGCUGCACAUGACCACCCUCCAUCACUAUUGCUGCAGUAAUUGGGGUUCCAUUUCCCUCAAUUAACCGCCACAUAUACCGUGCCCCAAUCGAUCGGUAUAGCCUUCAUUUCCCACACAAUUGUUC